UACGGAGGGUGCGAGCGUUGUCCGGAAUCAUUGGGCGUAAAGGGCGCGUAGGUGGCCCGGUCAGUCUUUGGUGAAAGCGCGGGGCUCAACCCUGCGUCGGCCAGGGAUACUGCCGCGGCUCGAGCACUGUGGAGGCAGGCGGAAUUCCGGGUGUAGCGGUGGAAUGCGUAGAGAUCCGGAAGAACACCGGUGGCGAAGGCAGCUCGCUGGGACGGUACUGACGCUGAGGCGCGAAAGCGUGGGGAGCGAACAGG
This 254-nucleotide ribosomal RNA is filed under the name uncultured bacterium. RNAcentral's name for it is "partial 16S ribosomal RNA". It matches the Rfam family "Bacterial small subunit ribosomal RNA", at positions 524 to 776 of the family's 1533-position model. The record is from RNAcentral.